This 71-nucleotide transfer RNA is filed under the name Phakopsora pachyrhizi. RNAcentral's name for it is "tRNA-Ser". It matches the Rfam family "tRNA". Rfam says of the family: Transfer RNA (tRNA) molecules are approximately 80 nucleotides in length. The record is from RNAcentral. Lineage: Eukaryota; Fungi; Basidiomycota; Pucciniomycetes; Pucciniales; Phakopsoraceae.
GCGCACUUUGCUCAAUGGAAGAGCAUCACUCAUGAAAGUUGAGGUUGUGGGUUUGAUUCCCACAGUGCACA